UGAACGCUGGCGGCAUGCCUUACACAUGCAAGUCGAACGGCAGCGCGGACUUCGGUCUGGCGGCGAGUGGCGAACGGGUGAGUAAUACAUCGGAACGUACCCUGUUGUGGGGGAUAACUAGUCGAAAGAUUAGCUAAUACCGCAUACGACCUGAGGGUGAAAGUGGGGGACCGCAAGGCCUCACGCAGCAGGAGCGGCCGAUGUCUGAUUAGCUAGUUGGUGGGGUAAAGGCCCACCAAGGCGACGAUCCCUAGCUGGUUUGAGAGGAUGAUCAGCCACACUGGGACUGAGACACGGCCCAGACUCCUACGGGAGGCAGCAGUGGGGAAUAUUGCACAAUGGGCGCAAGCCUGAUGCAGCCAUGCCGCGUGUGUGAAGAAGGCCUUCGGGUUGUAAAGCACUUUCAGUAAGGAGGAAAGGUUAAGUGUUAAUAGCACUUAGCUGUGACGUUACUUACAGAAGAAGCACCGGCUAACUCCGUGCCAGCAGCCGCGGUAAUACGGAGGGUGCGAGCGUUAAUCGGAAUUACUGGGCGUAAAGCGUACGCAGGCGGUUUGUUAAGCGAGAUGUGAAAGCCCCGGGCUCAACCUGGGAACUGCAUUUCGAACUGGCAAACUAGAGUGUGAUAGAGGGUGGUAGAAUUUCAGGUGUAGCGGUGAAAUGCGUAGAGAUCUGAAGGAAUACCGAUGGCGAAGGCAGCCACCUGGGUCAACACUGACGCUCAUGUACGAAAGCGUGGGGAACAAACAGGAUUAGAUACCCUGGUA
Molecule: ribosomal RNA, 767 nt
Filed under: uncultured bacterium
Lineage: Bacteria
Description: bacterial SSU rRNA
Rfam family: Bacterial small subunit ribosomal RNA
Source: RNAcentral